This 879-nucleotide ribosomal RNA is filed under the name uncultured bacterium. RNAcentral describes it as "bacterial SSU rRNA". It matches the Rfam family "Bacterial small subunit ribosomal RNA", at positions 46 to 915 of the family's 1533-position model. The record is from RNAcentral.
GCUUAACACAUGCUAUUCGAGGGGAAACGACAUCGAAAGCUUGCUUUUGAUGGGCGUCGACCGGCGCACGGGUGAGUAACGCGUAUCCAACCUGCCCAUCACUUGGGGAUAACCUUGCGAAAGUAAGACUAAUACCCAAUGAUAUCUCUAGAAGACAUCUGAAAGAGAUUAAAGAUUUAUCGGUGAUGGAUGGGGAUGCGUCUGAUUAGCUUGUUGGCGGGGUAACGGCUCACCAAGGCGACGAUCAGUAGGGGUUCUGAGAGGAAGGUCCCCCACAUUGGAACUGAGACACGGUCCAAACUCCUACGGGAGGCAGCAGUGAGGAAUAUUGGUCAAUGGACGAGAGUCUGAACCAGCCAAGUAGCGUGCAGGAUGACGGCCCUAUGGGUUGUAAACUGCUUUUAUAAGGGAAUAAAGUGAGUCUCGUGAGACUUUUUGCAUGUACCUUAUGAAUAAGGACCGGCUAAUUCCGUGCCAGCAGCCGCGGUAAUACGGAAGGUCCGGGCGUUAUCCGGAUUUAUUGGGUUUAAAGGGAGCGUAGGCCGGAGAUUAAGCGUGUUGUGAAAUGCAGACGCUCAACGUCUGCACUGCAGCGCGAACUGUUUUCCUUGAGUACGCACAAAGUGGGCGGAAUUCGUGGUGUAGCGGUGAAAUGCUUAGAUAUCACGAAGAACUCCGAUUGCGAAGGCAGCUCACUGGAGCGCAACUGACGCUGAAGCUCGAAAGUGCGGGUAUCGAACAGGAUUAGAUACCCUGGUAGUCCGCACGGUAAACGAUGGAUGCCCGCUGUUGGUCUGAAUAGGUCAGCGGCCAAGCGAAAGCAUUAAGCAUCCCACCUGGGGAGUACGCCGGCAACGGUGAAACUCAAAGGAAUUGACG